RNAcentral lists this transfer RNA (73 nucleotides) under Drepanopeziza brunnea f. sp. 'multigermtubi'. RNAcentral's name for it is "Marssonina brunnea f. sp. 'multigermtubi' tRNA-Thr". It matches the Rfam family "tRNA". Rfam says of the family: Transfer RNA (tRNA) molecules are approximately 80 nucleotides in length. Their secondary structure includes four short double-helical elements and three loops (D, anti-codon, and T loops). Further hydrogen bonds mediate the characteristic L-shaped molecular structure. tRNAs have two regions of fundamental functional importance: the anti-codon, which is responsible for specific mRNA codon recognition, and the 3' end, to which the tRNAs corresponding amino acid is attached (by aminoacyl-tRNA synthetases). tRNAs cope with the degeneracy of the genetic code in two manners: having more than one tRNA (with a specific anti-codon) for a particular amino acid; and 'wobble' base-pairing, i.e. permitting non-standard base-pairing at the 3rd anti-codon position. Lineage: Eukaryota; Fungi; Ascomycota; Leotiomycetes; Helotiales; Drepanopezizaceae. The record is from RNAcentral.
GGGUUAAUCUGCUAAUUGGUAAGUAACUUUCUUGUCAAGAAAGCCGAUGUCGGUUCGAACCCGACUUAACCCG